RNAcentral lists this ribosomal RNA (117 nucleotides) under Danio rerio (zebrafish). The record is from RNAcentral. Lineage: Eukaryota; Metazoa; Chordata; Actinopteri; Cypriniformes; Danionidae.
GGCUGCAGCCUUAUCACCCUGCAGCCCAAGACCAGUAACUCACUGAAGCUAAGCAGGGCUGAGCCUGGUCAGUACCUAGAUGGAAGACCACAUGGGAAAACUAGGCUGCUGUUGGAA